UCAGUUCAAAUGUGAAUAAAAAUUAAGAACAAAUUUAACAAGUAGCCAGUCAUUCUUAAAGCGCCACGUAUUGUCUUCACAAACCACAUCCUAUCUCGGAGACUCACCCCUUUAUUUCCCAAUUCCAGCCCGUCCCCUUAGCUCACUUGUCUACUCCGCACCGACCCAGAGCAUUAAUCAAUCUCAUUUUGGUUCCCUUUUUCCUCUGUUAUUCAUCCCGCUCUCCUGCUUCCAAAGGUUACUUCUUUCAUGCUUAAACUGUGCUAAGUUAUCCGAAGGAAAAUGAUGCAGUAUUUGCUUGAGAACUGGGAUGUCUGGUAUGGUUCAGUGUUUUGAAUGGAGUUUUCUACUGAUUGAAUUUGUGGGUUUAUCUUACGUGUUCUUGAUAUGCCUCUGAAUUCACUUUUGCUUCGUGAAAAAUGAUGGUUGAAUGAAUCACAAACCCCUCAAAUGGAUUUUCUAUUUUCUUGAAGUUUUGGGAAAGAAAGCUCAAAUUUUCUCUUGUUUGAUUAUGGGUUUCGUCCAUCUACUUCAUGAAAUCUGGGAAGUUAGUCUUCUACUCUAAUUUGUCAGAAUUUGUUCAGUUUAUUCCACGAAAACUGAAAUGCAAGUUCAGUUGUUGAUACACGUGAGCUUGAACUGUUGAUUUUUGCAGAUUUGUUGCACAUAAAUUGUUGUUAUUUUUAUUAAUUUCGUGCAUAUAAAUGUUAAAUUGUUGAUUUUCAGCUCAACAAUUUAAUUGGACUAACUUCUCAGUUUUCCUGAAGUACAGGGAUGA
Hibiscus syriacus is the source of this 778-nucleotide long non-coding RNA. RefSeq lists it as uncharacterized. The record is from RefSeq and is a predicted model, not a curated record. NCBI's taxonomy places the organism in Eukaryota, Viridiplantae, Streptophyta, Magnoliopsida, Malvales, Malvaceae. The transcript is spliced from 3 exons.